AUCCGCCUACCACUACUUCACAGAGUUAGCCCGAGUCCCUGGUAGCGCAGCCCGGACGUAGCCACAGCUCACACCGCGGGACACCCUGGAAGAGACGCAGAGCCCCCAGGAGGAUGACCGGCGGCGCACACUGGAUGUGAACAUCGUGUCGGGAGGAUGUGAGAUGAACCGGGGCAAAUCAGCGACCAACGACGUCAUGUUGGUCCGGAGCUCGAACGGCCGAGGCCGAGCCAGAGUGACUCACGCCGUGGUGGUGAUCUUCCUGGAGUUCUUCGCCUGGGGGCUGCUCACCACGCCCAUGCUGACCGUCCUUCAUGAGACGUUUCCUCAGCACACGUUCCUGAUGAACGGGCUGGUGCAGGGCGUCAAGGGGUUCCUGUCCUUCCUGUCGGCUCCUCUCAUCGGGGCUCUGUCCGACAUCUGGGGCAGGAAGUCCUUCCUCCUCAUGACCGUCUUCUUCACCUGCGCCCCCAUCCCCUUCAUGAGGAUCAGCCCCUGGUGGUAUUUCGCUCUGAUCUCGGUCUCGGGGAUUUUCUCUGUGACCUUCUCUGUGAUCUUCGCCUACGUCGCCGACAUCACGGAGGAGCACGAGAGGAGCAUGGCCUACGGCCUGGUCUCCGCCACCUUCGCCGCCAGCCUGGUGACCAGCCCGGCCAUCGGGGCCUACCUGUCAGCGCAGUACGACGACAGCCUGGUGGUCCUGGUCGCCACGGUGAUCGCCGUCGCUGACAUCGCCUUCGUCUUCUUCGUGGUCCCCGAGUCGCUGCCCGACAAGAUGAGGCUGACGUCCUGGGGAUUCCCCAUCUCCUGGGAGCAGGCCGACCCCUUCGCCUCUCUGCGUCGGGUGGGUAAAGACCCCACGGUGCUGCUGAUCUGUGUGACCGUCUUCCUGUCCUACCUGCCUGAGGCCGGACAGUACUCCAGCUUCUUCCUGUACCUGAGACAGGUGAUCGAGUUCUCCCCCGCGGCCAUCGCUGCCUUCAUCGCCAUGGUGGGGAUCCUGUCCAUCGUGGCCCAGACCCUGUUCCUCAGUGUUUUAAUGAGGACGAUCGGCCAUAAGAACACGGUUCUCCUGGGUUUAGGCUUCCAGCUGCUCCAGCUGGCCUGGUACGGCUUCGGGUCCGAGCCCUGGAUGAUGUGGGCAGCAGGGACAUUAGCAGCCAUGUCCUCCAUCACUUUCCCAGCAGUUUCUGCUCUGGUGUCACACAGCGCCUCCCCAGACCAGCAAGGUGUGGCUCAGGGGAUGGUCACCGGUAUCCGGGGUCUGUGUAACGGUUUGGGUCCAGCGCUCUUCGGCUUCAUCUUCUUCCUCUUCAACGUGGAGCUGAACGACCUGCAGCCUGUGGCCGGUCACCCGGCGCCACGGCACGAGAAGUCCAUCAUCCCUGGUCCUCCCUUCCUGUUCGGGGCAUGUGCCGUCGUGUUCGCUCUGCUCGUUGCCAUCUUCAUCCCCAGCCACCGCCGCACCAGCGACCUCAAGACGUGCUCCGCCCACAAGCCCGCUGGCUCCGCCUCCUCCGCACACGCUCAGAUGGCUGCCAGCCCUCUCACCACGCCGGCCAGCGAUGCCGAGGACAUCGAGCCGCUCCUCCAGGACAGCAGCCUCUGACCGGCCAAUCAGAGCGCCCCAGUCCCAGAAGCCCCGCCCCCUCCAGAGUAAACUGCUUUUAUUGGUUCAGGAAACGUUGGGCUGCAGCCACAGCGAGCAUCUGACAUUCAUCCACAAGAUUUAACAAUAUAUUUAACUUUAAUAAAAGAAAUCUGCACAAACGUUAUACAAACUAAACAUUUACAUCAUUGGUUCCAGAAUGUCCCUCCUCCCCCUCCAUAGUUUCCUCUGGCCGCCGCCCCCUCCGUCUACCUGAGGCCACAGAUCUAACAUGGAGCCUUCACCAUGAACGGCACCACGGCCCUGGAUAAACCAACAUGGCCGCCAACAUGGCCGCCAACAUGGCCGCCAGACGUCACCCUCACUGAGCAUGUGCAGGACCUCAGGCUGUUAAAGAGUUGGAGAACAGAAUAGUCUGGGCUCCUUUACUCCUCCGUCCAGUCUGAACCUGAACUCCUCCGUUUAUCACCUCCUCCUCCUGUCUGAAUACUUGAAGCUCCUCCCGGCUCAGCUGGUCCUCCAGGUGGCGCUAAUGAAGCCGCCCUCAGAGCUGAUGCUUCACAAACAAGAUGUGCCAUCUCUCUCUCUCUCUCUCUCUCUAACAUUCCUGCAGAAUCCAGCCUGUCGGUAAUCGCCACGGUAACAGGCGUCAUGGAGCAGAGGUGGGGGGGCAACAGAAAACUCGACUGAAACGUUACAAAGCAUCUUGUUUUUUAUUGUUGUUGAACCUGAUGAUGAUGGUGAUCGUUUAUUUGACAGGCAUCAAACAUACGGCCCGCAGGCCUAACGUGGCCCCCAGACCGUCUAACGUGGCCCCCCCAGGCCUAACGUGGCCCCCAACAGCAAACAUAGAAAACUAAUAUCUGUAAUUUAUCAACUGGUUUAUUCAGAGAAGUGGACAGAACACAGCACCGACACCAGGACUAGAAGUAAAUAAAAACCAGGUGUAGAUGACGGGACGCUGCGUUCAGGCUCCGUGGGAUUUGGCUCAUCUGUUCAUCACCGUCACAUCAGUUUCACGUUCAGUUCCAGUGUUUCCUCCAGUCUGAAGAGUUACUGAAUGUCUUUUAUUUGUUUUUAAACCAAAAAUCUUUCCUGGAGCUGAAGACGUCGACGACUAAUGAACUAACUGAGCAGCUGAGAGCCAACAUGGCCGCCAGAGGAGACGUCUCCUGGUUGACGAGGAGACGUCUCCUGGUUGAUCCAGAUGUUUCCUCCUGCAGCACUUUAAUUUCUCUGUGCCUCUAACCUACUUGUUCAUAUCUGUUUUUAUAUAUAAACCCAGAGGAGACGUGUUCGUGCUUUUGCAGUUGAUUUCUUUUCUCUUAUUAAGGAUGUAAUUUUAAUAUCUAUGACAAUGAUGAUAAUAAUAAUAAAGAUGUAUGACGUUUUA
Molecule: RNA transcript, 3002 nt
Organism: Mugil cephalus (flathead mullet)
Lineage: Eukaryota; Metazoa; Chordata; Actinopteri; Mugiliformes; Mugilidae
Gene: slc71a2b
Gene name: major facilitator superfamily domain containing 14Bb
Exons: 13
Source: RefSeq, a predicted model, not a curated record